This 1605-nucleotide ribosomal RNA is filed under the name uncultured Glomeromycotina. RNAcentral describes it as "eukaryotic LSU rRNA". The stretch from base 767 to 1605 matches the Rfam family "Eukaryotic large subunit ribosomal RNA", at positions 1 to 695 of the family's 3401-position model. The record is from RNAcentral. Lineage: Eukaryota; Fungi; Glomeromycota.
UCGCUCUUCAACGAGGAAUCCCUAGUAAGCAUGAGUCAUCAGCUCGUGCUGAUUACGUCCCUGCCCUUUGUACACACCGCCCGUCGCUACUACCGAUUGAAUGGCUUAGUGAGACCUUUGGAUUGGGGUUUAGGGAUCGGAAACGAUUCUUAUUCUCCGAGAAGUCGGUCAAACUUGGUCAUUUAGAGGAAGUAAAAGUCGUAACAAGGUUUCCGUAGGUGAACCUGCGGAAGGAUCAUUAUUAUUUGGGUCGGGUUUACUACUUAUAACUGUUGCUCAUGCGUCUCAAAUGUAAAGUAGUAAACUUUUACCAAAUAAUCCUAUAUCCAAAUAGGAGCAAGAUGAAUUUAUAUUUAAAACCCACUCUUGAAUGUAUAAAAUUUAUGUAUUAAUGAUAAAAUUAAAGAUCACUUUCAACAACGGAUCUCUUGGCUCUCGCAUCGAUGAAGAACGCAGCGAAAUGCGAUACGUAGUGUGAAUUGCAGAAUUCCGUGAAUCAUCGAAUCUUUGAACACAAAUUGUACUUUCCAGUAAUCUGGGAAGUAUGCUUGGUUGAGGGUCAUUAAAAUAACAUUCGUGAAUUUUUUUGCGGAUUUGAGUUUUCCAGUAUUUAUAUAAUAUAAAAAUGUUGGUAACUUUAAAAUCAUUAUUACUUGGUACAAGUUGAAGACGUUCUAUAUGUGUGGUUCGCUGACAACUUGUCCAUCAUCAUAUAUUAUGCGCGCACUUCGUUUUUACGCUUUGUGCGAGUAUAUAUUUUUUUUUAUGACCUCAGCUCAAGUAAGAAUACCCGCUGAACUUAAGCAUAUCAAUAAGCGGAGGAAAAGAAACUAACAAGGAUUCCCCUAGUAACGGCGAGUGAAGAGGGAAAAGCUCAAAUUUUAAAUCUACCUGGUUCCAGGUCGAAUUGUAAUUUGAAGAAGCGAUAUCGGUGUGGAGGUCUGGUUCAAGUUCUUUGGAACAAGACAUCAUGGAGGGUGAGAAUCCCGUGCAUGAUCAGACCGAAAUACUUAAUAUUCGUUUUCUAAGAGUCGAGUUGUUUGGGAAUGCAGCUCAAAAUGGGUGGUAGACUUCACCUAAGGCUAAAUAUCAGCGAGAGACCGAUAGCGAACAAGUACUGUGAAGGAAAGAUGAAAAGAACUUUGAAAAGAGAGUUAAAUAGUACGUGAAAUUGUUGAAAGGGAAACGAUUGAAGUCAGUCAUGCUAGUGAAAAAUCAGUUUGACGGGUUUUGAGUUCGGGAGUAGAGGCAGGGUCAAACCGUUUCUCUUUUGAACUUGGGAUUUGUCGGAUGUACUUUUUCUUUGGCAGGUCAGCGUCGGUUUCGGAGGUUGUAAAAUACUUGGGGAAAAGUAGCUCUGCUUCGGGAGAGUAUUAUAGACCCUGGGGGAUGCAGCCUGUGGGAUCGAGGAUUGCAGCAAAUGCUUUUUGGCUUGUCGCCUAUCUCUGGACGUUACCUCGCUUGUGACAACAUUCUUGACACCGGUGGGUACUAAUGCCCAUUACUUAGAGCGAUCGAAAAUUUUGCUAAGGAUGCUGACGUAAUGGCUUUAAACGACCCGUCUUGAAACACGGACCAAGGAGUCUAACAUAUGUGCGAGUGUUU